This 547-nucleotide ribosomal RNA is filed under the name uncultured bacterium. Its description in RNAcentral is "bacterial SSU rRNA". It matches the Rfam family "Bacterial small subunit ribosomal RNA", at positions 355 to 896 of the family's 1533-position model. The record is from RNAcentral.
UGGGGAAUAUUGCGCAAUGGGGGGAACCCUGACGCAGCCAUGCCGCGUGAAUGAAGAAGGCCUUCGGGUUGUAAAGUUCUUUCGGUAUUGAGGAAGGUUGAUGUGUUAAUAGUACAUCAAAUUGACGUUAAAUACAGAAGAAGCACCGGCUAACUCCGUGCCAGCAGCCGCGGUAAUACGGAGGGUGCGAGCGUUAAUCGGAAUAACUGGGCGUAAAGGGCACGCAGGCGGUUAUUUAAGUGAGGUGUGAAAGCCCCGGGCUUAACCUGGGAAUUGCAUUUCAGACUGGGUAACUAGAGUACUUUAGGGAGGGGUAGAAUUCCACGUGUAGCGGUGAAAUGCGUAGAGAUGUGGAGGAAUACCGAAGGCGAAGGCAGCCCCUUGGGAAUGUACUGACGCUCAUGUGCGAAAGCGUGGGGAGCAAACAGGAUUAGAUACCCUGGUAGCCCACGCUGUAAACGCUGUCGAUUUGGGGAUUGGGCUUUAAGCUUGGUGCCCGUAGCUAACGUGAUAAAUCGACCGCCUGGGGAGUACGGCCGCAAGGUUA